Varroa destructor (honeybee mite) is the source of this 717-nucleotide long non-coding RNA. The record is from RefSeq and is a predicted model, not a curated record. NCBI's taxonomy places the organism in Eukaryota, Metazoa, Arthropoda, Arachnida, Mesostigmata, Varroidae.
AAUUAUAUUUGGCUCAUCUCGAUAUAUAUCUUUUUCACUAACGACCGACAGCGUGCUUUAUUUGUCUUUAUCAAACGCUCUCUUUAAGGCGCAUAGUUGACGCAAUUCAAUGAACUUUUUCUGAGGACUACUCAGCGUAGUGAAGAGCUUUUGCCUGCGUAAAUCAACAUAAAAUCAACAACUCGCUUUGCAAGUUUGCCCCGUGCAUGUCAUAUGGACCAUAAUAUGCCGCGUGGCGGACGUUUGUUGACAAAUCAUGUACAGAACUGCGCAGUUGCACAAGCUGUUCAGGCCCAGUGGGUGCAGUUACCUAGCAGUCCAGUUUCGCGGUUCCAUCGUCAGUAAAGGACAAAGUUUAUUCUUGGUGUGCAAGGCACAGCGACGUCGGGAUCACCAGCUCGACUAAGGCUAACGAUGGCGGCCACACGAUGAGAUCGCUGCUAGACACUAGAUAGGAAUCCACCUUGUCUCGUUUACGUACGUCCUGCAAAAGCUUACAAGUAUCGUUGACGUUAAUAGUCCUUGUUUCUUGCUUUCAACGGCGGUGGCCCUCUCCGCCAGCGUUAUCUCCGUCAUCGCCUCCUGUCAAAGCACUCAAUGAUUGGGCCGCGUUCAUGAAGCAGUCCUUUAUAUCGCAACGAGUUUGAAACAAGGUACAAAUUUGACUGCAACCCCGACAGCCGUGCGGCCUUUGGAUAGCACACCUUUGACUUUUUC